UACGUAGGGUGCAAGCGUUGUCCGGAAUUAUUGGGCGUAAAGAGCUCGUAGGCGGUUUGUCGCGUCUGCUGUGAAAACCCGAGGCUCAACCUCGGGUCUGCAGUCGAUACGAGCAAACUAGAGUGUUGCAGGGGAGACUGGAAUUCCUGGUGUAGCGGUGAAGUGCGCAGAUAUCAGGAGGAACACCGGUGGCGAAGGCGGGUCUCUG
This 208-nucleotide ribosomal RNA is filed under the name uncultured bacterium. Its description in RNAcentral is "partial 16S ribosomal RNA". It matches the Rfam family "Bacterial small subunit ribosomal RNA", at positions 524 to 731 of the family's 1533-position model. The record is from RNAcentral.